Molecule: ribosomal RNA, 797 nt
Filed under: Apiosporopsis carpinea
Lineage: Eukaryota; Fungi; Ascomycota; Sordariomycetes; Diaporthales
Description: LSU rRNA
Rfam family: Eukaryotic large subunit ribosomal RNA
Source: RNAcentral
AACACAGGGAUGCCUAGUAACGGCGAGUGAAGCGGCAACAGCUCAAAUUUGAAAUCUGGCUUCGGCCCGAGUUGUAAUUUGCAGAGGAUGUUUUUGGCGCGGUGCCUUCCGAGUUCCCUGGAACGGGACGCCACAGAGGGUGAGAGCCCCGUCUGGUUGGACACCAAGCCUGUGUAAAACUCCUUCAACGAGUCGAGUAGUUUGGGAAUGCUGCUCUAAAUGGGAGGUAAAUCUCUUCUAAAGCUAAAUACCGGCCAGAGACCGAUAGCGCACAAGUAGAGUGAUCGAAAGAUGAAAAGCACCUUGAAAAGGGGGUUAAACAGUACGUGAAAUUGUUGAAAGGGAAGCGUUUAUGACCAGACUUGUGCCGUGUGGCUCAUCCGGGGUUCUCCCCGGUGCACUCCACACGGUUCAGGCCAGCAUCGAUUCUCGCUGGGGGAUAAGAACGGUAGGAACGUGGCCCUCUUCGGAGGGUGUUAUAGCCUAUCGUACGAUACCCUGGCGGGGAUCGAGGACCGCGCUUCGUGCUAGGAUGCUGGCGUAAUGGUCAUUAGCGACCCGUCUUGAAACACGGACCAAGGAGUCGUCCAUUAGAGCGAGCGUUUGGGUGUAAAACCCGCACGCGUAAUGAAAGUGAAAUUAGGUGAGAGCUUCGGCGCAUCAUCGACCGAUCCUGAAGUUUACGGAUGGAUUUGAGUAAGAGUUUUAACGGACGGACCCGAAAGACAGUGAACUAUGCUUGAAUAGGGUGAAGCCAGAGGAAACUCUGGUGGAGGCUCGCAGCGGUUCUGACGUGC